This 71-nucleotide transfer RNA is filed under the name Mustelus griseus. RNAcentral describes it as "tRNA-Ser". It matches the Rfam family "tRNA". Rfam says of the family: Transfer RNA (tRNA) molecules are approximately 80 nucleotides in length. Their secondary structure includes four short double-helical elements and three loops (D, anti-codon, and T loops). The record is from RNAcentral. Lineage: Eukaryota; Metazoa; Chordata; Chondrichthyes; Carcharhiniformes; Triakidae.
AAGAAAGUGACAGAGUGGUGAUGUGGUUGGCUUGAAACCAGCAUAUGGGGGUUCAAUUCCCUCCUUUCUUG